Molecule: ribosomal RNA, 540 nt
Filed under: Triticum aestivum (bread wheat)
Lineage: Eukaryota; Viridiplantae; Streptophyta; Magnoliopsida; Poales; Poaceae
Description: partial small subunit ribosomal RNA
Source: RNAcentral
AUGGUGGCCCAGAAACUUCCUCCUUGGCAAGGCAGAAACAUCAACAUUGUUGGGAGAUCCACUCUUGUGAAGUCUGUGUUAUCCUCCCAGGCCAUCUACUACCUCACCGCGCUCGAUAUUCUAGUUGGGACCACAUAUGAUAUAGCUAAGAUUCAAAGGGCCUACUUGUGGGCCGACACAAAUAAGGUGUCAGGAGGUCAGUGCAAGGUUAACUGGAAGCUAAUUUGCAGACCCCUAAACCUAGGUGGAUUAGGAAUCCUCAACCUUACUAAGUUCUCUAGAGCACUCAGGCUUCGGUGGCUAUUGUUUCAAUGGGUGGACCCCCAGCGAGCUUGGGUUGGUUUUGACAUCCCUUGUGAUGACGAUGACCUAGAUCUUUUCUACUCUGCGACGACUCUUACAAUGGGUGAUGGCACGAAGGCGAGUUUCUGGUUCGCUCCCUGGCUACAGGGGCAAAAUCCAAAAGGACAUGGCUCCGGGUAUCUUCGCCCUUUCAAAGCGCAAGAAUGCAUGUGUGGCAAAGGCUCUGACAAACAGUGA